Molecule: ribosomal RNA, 248 nt
Filed under: uncultured bacterium
Lineage: Bacteria
Description: partial 16S ribosomal RNA
Rfam family: Bacterial small subunit ribosomal RNA
Source: RNAcentral
AGUAACGCGUGAGUAACCUGCCUUUCAGAGGGGGAUAACGUUCUGAAAAGAACGCUAAUACCGCAUGAGACUACAGAGCUGCAUGGCUCAGUGGUCAAAGGAGCAAUCCGCUGAAAGAUGGACUCGCGUCCGAUUAGAUAGUAGGCGGGGUAACGGCCCACCUAGUCGACGAUCGGUAGCCGGACUGAGAGGUUGAACGGCCACAUUGGGACUGAGACACGGCCCAAACUCCUACGGGAGGCAGCAUG